AAUAUACUCCCUCCAUCCGAAAAUACUUGUCAUUAAAAUGAAUAAAAAGAAAUAUAUGUAGAACUAAAGUACAUCUAGAUACAUCCCCUUUUAUCCAUUUUGAUGACAAGUAUUUCCGGAUAGAGGGAGUACUUA
This is a non-coding RNA of Triticum aestivum (bread wheat), 135 nucleotides long. The record is from Rfam. Lineage: Eukaryota; Viridiplantae; Streptophyta; Magnoliopsida; Poales; Poaceae.